RNAcentral lists this ribosomal RNA (164 nucleotides) under uncultured bacterium. Its description in RNAcentral is "partial 16S rRNA". It matches the Rfam family "Bacterial small subunit ribosomal RNA", at positions 355 to 511 of the family's 1533-position model. The record is from RNAcentral.
UAGGGAAUCUUCCACAAUGGGCGAAAGCCUGAUGGAGCCAACGCCGCGUGUGUGAUGAAGGGUUUCGGCUCGUAAACACUGUUGUAAGAGAAGAAUGACAUUGAGAGUAACUGUUCAAUGUGUGACGGUAUCUUACCAGAAAGGAACGGCUAAAUACGUGCCAG